CCAAAAUCAAUUAAAUUAAAAUAGGUUUUUCCUUCCAAAUUUUCCAUAGCUAUUUUCCUCACAGCAUCAUUCAAUUCUCUGGAACCCCAAAUUGAUUUCUUCUCCAUCACAUUACUCAAUUCUUCCUUACAUUAAAUCCAAACCAUUUUCAUCCCAGUAUAAGCCCCAAAUCAAGGAACAAAUGCAUAUUAAACUCCAAUUUGAGAAAUCCCCAAAUUCAUAUGAACUCUAAAUUCAUCUACAAUUUUGGCAGCGUAGGCAUAAGAUGAAGGUUGGCCAUGUUCAGCCAGCAUCUAUGGGUGGUAGAUACUGCUAUACUGUGGGUUCCUCUUACUAGCAGUUGUUUUGUUAAUGACAUUGGCGUGGUCCAAGACUCAAGAUAUUCUGUGAUACUUCCUGUAGUUGAAGGUGGUUUUGAAUUUUUAGUUUAGGUCUAGUACUUAUGACAUUGAAGCUAAAGGAUGUGAUGAAGAGAAAAGUGGUGUUUUAGUGCCUUGUGCUCAUCUCUUAUUACUAUUAAGAAUGAUGUACUCAGAUACUUGAAGGGUAUAUAAUAAAUGUUUGUAAUGAAGAUUUUCUUCCACUAAAUUCCAUUGUACUAUUUGGAAUGCUUUAUUGUUAGUGUUAAAGGCUUUCCCUCUUUG
Molecule: long non-coding RNA, 644 nt
Filed under: Olea europaea subsp. europaea
Lineage: Eukaryota; Viridiplantae; Streptophyta; Magnoliopsida; Lamiales; Oleaceae
Source: RNAcentral